This 362-nucleotide ribosomal RNA is filed under the name uncultured soil bacterium. Its description in RNAcentral is "bacterial SSU rRNA". It matches the Rfam family "Bacterial small subunit ribosomal RNA", at positions 27 to 394 of the family's 1533-position model. The record is from RNAcentral.
GAUUGAACGCUGGCGGCAGGCCUAACACAUGCAAGUCGAGCGGUAGAGAGGUGCUUGCACCUCUUGAGAGCGGCGGACGGGUGAGUAAUGCCUAGGAAUCUGCCUAGUGGUGGGGGAUAACGUUCGGAAACGGACGCUAAUACCGCAUACGUCCUACGGGAGAAAGCGGGGGACCUUCGGGCCUCGCGCCAUUAGAUGAGCCUAGGUCGGAUUAGCUAGUUGGUGAGGUAAUGGCUCACCAAGGCGACGAUCCGUAACUGGUCUGAGAGGAUGAUCAGUCACACUGGAACUGAGACACGGUCCAGACUCUACGGGAGGCAGCAGUGGGAAUAUGGACAAUGGGCGCAAGCCUGAUCCAGCCA